This is a long non-coding RNA of Cyprinus carpio carpio, 1800 nucleotides long. Lineage: Eukaryota; Metazoa; Chordata; Actinopteri; Cypriniformes; Cyprinidae. The record is from Ensembl.
AAGAGACUCUUUCAAAGCUUGUUGGUUUUCAUGCAUCAAGCAAAUAGUUGAAUGUGUUUUGGGUUUGGAACAUCGUGAGGGUGAGUAAAUGAUGAGCAUAACACCUUUAAUGCAAGAGGUUUUAAUCCCCCCAAACUCCUCCAGAUGAGCACACGUGAACCGGUGGAGCCUCGGUCAUUUUUGUGAACUGCUGGUUUCACGAGCGGCUCUAGUACUCAGAGUGCUGUUCUCUGCAGAGGUCUGAGAGCGGAACAGGAAGCAGAUCUGCAGUGAUUCGCAGCUGUUUCUGCUCAGUCAUUAACAUAUUCAUCUCUCGGCAGAGCAGCAGGUGUGUUAUGACGUUUAGUUCUGCUUCACUCUCACACACUUCACACACACACACACACACACACACACUCUCUGCUGGCAAUUAGCUCUGUUUUUCUGAUGGUCUUUCCAUCGCAGCUGAGAUUUCAACUGUUUAACGCCAGCGGCCAGACGUACAGCAGCACAAAACAGUGCUUCAAACCAAACAAAAUGAAUAUCAGUCCUGUAUAAAUUUAAUUAAAUACACUACACUUAAUAUGAAGUUUUAUUUUGCAUGUCUGAGACUAAAAUGUUUUGUAGUCAUGGAUAGGUUUUGACUACUACAGGAGUAGAGGAGUGUUCGCUCUUCUCAGUCCACUGAGUGUUUCUGUGGAAGCUGAAGGAUCUCAGAUGGUUGUGCUGGGAAACUGUUCCGCGUCUGCUCUCAUCUGUCUGUCAGCGGAUGCUCAGGCGUUUGCUCUGAUUGUUCUGGAUUAUUGUGUUUGGCCGGAGGGAUGCAGUCCAGCCCCUAAAGGUCAACGGCACGAGUGGCAUUUGGGUUCUGACAGGCGACCCAGAUUCACUGAUCUUCAUGUUCUGUUGCAGUCAGAGACGUGACUCCUGGAGAGUGUGCUUCAGUUUCUCCUGAGGAGAGGAUACACCAGCCUUCAGAGCAGUGACAGACCUUCAUACACACACACACACACACACACACACACACACACACACACACACACACACUCACACUCACACACACACACACACACACAAACACACUCACACACACACACACACACUCCAUUCAGCUCAAGUCAGUCAGGCUGUUUGUUUCAUACCAGUGUGUGUGUGUGUGUGUGUGUGUGUGUGUGUGUGUGUGUUUAGCUAUUUUAAGCAUGUUUUGGGGACAUCCUCUUCUGUAAACACACCAUAAAAUAAAUAGAGGUUUGUGAGAUUUUUAUUGGUUAAAAUGCUGAACAUGUUCGUGUUUUCUUAUGGUAUUUAUUAUAACUAGUGGUAAGUAAAAACAGUAAGUCUGUGGAAUGUGUCCGCUGAUCUAAGACUGUCAACAUGACACAGAUAUAAUAUAUGAUGUUUACUCUGAUCAGCAGAGGUGAUUUAACAACUUCUUUUUUCUUUCCACAGUUAUAUAUAUUAAAUGUUUUAUUGUCUCUGUCUGGAUGUAAGUGAAGAAUUAUUUGUAAGUUUUGUUUUUUCAGGUUCUGAUGAUUAAUGUGUACACAUGCACCUCAUUAUUAAUGUGCUUUUCCAUUAAUGACUGCUGUCUGUUUCUGUUGAACUAUCGGUGUGUGUGCAUUCAUCUCUUCAAAGAUGUGUUCAAAUGUAUUAUUUUCUGGGCUGUUUCAAAUAUGAAAAAAUAUUGUUAACAUGUUUCUUUAUGCUCAAAGAAAUAUAGUGUCACAAAUCGACUGAUUUAACACAAAUGCCGACAUCUGUCUGCGUGUAGCUGUGUGUGUUUUUCUGACUGUGUGUGUGUUUGUGUUCUGAGAUCCAGAG